RNAcentral lists this long non-coding RNA (2848 nucleotides) under Mytilus galloprovincialis (Mediterranean mussel). The record is from RNAcentral. Lineage: Eukaryota; Metazoa; Mollusca; Bivalvia; Mytilida; Mytilidae.
GUGGUAUAUGAAUUACAUAACGUAUAUUGAUCAUAGCUGCUUUAUUUGGGUCAAGUAGGUUUAACAAUAUAUUGUGUUCAGUCUAUGUUUCUACCUCGUUGCUAGUACUUGUUUUGAGCUAAUUAUAUUUUUUAACAACAUUCAACCAAUUAUCAACAUUUGACAUAGUUCAUUUACAUUAAUUUUUAAUUUCUUUUCUUUAUUCUUUACGCUAUUAUAUGUUGUUGCGUGGGAAAAGUUAAAUCACACUUUAUAACCCUGUGAGAAAUUAAAAGACCAAUAUUGAUUUUUGCAUCCAUCGGUUAUUCACCCACAAUGCUUUUUAGAUCUGUUUUUACGUUUUGCAUUGUCUCGACGUCCAAUCAACCAAUAUCGAUUGGAAUCUACAUCAAUUGUACGAUAAUCAAAUACAGCUAUAACAGAGUUGUUGAUACCUAAUACUGUAUAGAAUUUUAAUAGCUUUGAAUUCACAUUUUCAUGUUUGCGUAAAAAAAUGAUUUUUUUUACGUGCAGUAUCUAUAAUAAUGUGAUGUAAUGUAUAACAAAUGACAACUUUUCAAGUCUAGCAUAUUCUGUGGCCACAUACAUCGAUAGAAGAGUUGUAGAUACCUAAUACUGUGUAGAGUUUUAUUAUCUUCGAAUUCACAUUCUCAUGUUUGCGCCAUAUAAAUGAAAUUCUAUAUCAUGUGCAGUAUCAUUAACAAUUUGAUGAAUUGUUUAUCAAAUGACAAUUUUCUAGCAUAUUCUGUGGCCACAUUUUUAAACCAGGCGGUUUUGUCGUUCCUGGAUACUUAUAACGCGUUAAAAUAGGAAAGAAGACGGAGAUUAAAAGGUGCCGAGUUGAAACUGAAUUGAAUCGGCGAAAUAUGAGUUGGCCUUGUUAGUCGCCUCGACUUCAGCGCCCUGUUUACUUGAUUGUAACGACAAUUAUUGGCUUCAUUCUGUCAUGUUCAGUUAACAUCCUCCGAUGCGUAUUACUACCCUGAACCAUACACCUUUCCAUCAUAACUAUAUAAUACAUAGGUUAUUUAUGGAUUUGUAUGUUUUGAACACAUUGUAUAACUUUGUAGACCACAUAAUAUCAAAGGCUAUCGGUACGGCAGGUGCUAAAGGUAACAAAGAUCAAAAUAUGUUGUACGCGAUUGAAAACAUCAAUUGUAUUGCAAUGGCAAUCAGAAACACAGAGACAAAUCAGCAUGCUAGAAUAAACUGUAAUAUUUCAUACUGAGAGCCGGACAUAGAGUUAGCAGGCAUUUUGUAUGCAUUGGCGGAUCCAGGGGGCGGGGGUUGCAACCCCCUUUUUAAAAUGGCUGGAUCCGCCUCUGGUAUGAGGUUUCAGCAUUUUGACAAGGGCCUCUUUUCAAUGGGCGAUAGCAGUUCCUCUUCUAAUUGUUAAUCAGCUGGUGUUCAAUUCAUUAAUUCGAAUAAACUUUCAACCUAGUAGAUAUAUUAAGCAAUAUACGAAAACGACCGAUUAAGUUAACGAUUCUAUUUAUAGUUAUCUUAUAACUAAAAUAUCUCAAUGUUUCCAUUUAUACACUUUGUUUUGGUGUUAUGAACAAGGUUAGAUUACAUUACGUAGUCAUGUACAUACUACACCGAUAAACUAAAACCAAGUGCACGGUGUGCUCGUUUUAUCAAAUGAUUUACGCUGUUUGCUAUAGCACUUUCAAAAAAUGAAAAAUUAUAAAUUAGACAACGGUUACUAUUGUAUCAUUUACAAUGAGUUCUGGACCAUAUUAUGCAUUAUACUUAAAGAUUGAAAACGUUUAAUUUUGCAUCAUUAAUGAUGUUCUUCCGAAUAAAUGUUGACCAUUUUACACAAAGAUUGAAUGCGGUUAAUAUUGCAUCAUUAAUGAUGUUCUUCCGAAUAAAUGUUGGCCAUGUUACUCAAAGAUUGAAAACGUUUAAUAUUGCAUCAUUAAUGAUGUUCUUCCGAAUAAAUGUUGACCAUUUUACACAAAGGCUAAAACGGUUAAUAUAACAUCAUUAUUGAUGUUCUUUCGAAUGUUCCUCAUUUUACACGAAGACUGAAAACGGUUGAUAUUGCAUCAAUAAUGAUGUUCUGCAGCAUGUUCAUCAUUUUACACAAAGACGGAAAACGGUUAAUAUAACAUCAUUAAAAAUGUUCUACAAUAUGUUCACCAUGUUACACAAAGACAGAAAACGGUUGAUAUUGCAUCAAUAAUGGUGUUCUGCAGCAAUUUGAUCAUAAUACACCAACACUGAAAACGGUUUAUAUUGCAUCAUUAAUGAUGUUCUGCAAUAUGUUCACCAUUUCACGCAAAGACUGAAAACGGUUUAUAUUGCAUCAUUCAUGGUGUUCUGCAGCAAUUUUAUCAUUAUACACAAACACUGAAAUCGGUUUAUAUUGCAUCAUUAUUGAUGUUCUGCAAUAUGUUCACCAGUUUACACAAAGCUUAAAAAUUAUUGCAUUAUUAACAACAAAAAUGUGCAUGAAUGAAUAUUUUCAUUUGUCCUAUAUAUUACGAACUUAUAUUACAUUAAACGGUAAAAAGUAUCAAUAAAUCAUAUCAAUAGUUUUGCCUUUAGUUCGUAAAUGAUAAAAAAUGCAUUCAAAGAUAAUGAAUGAUUUCACUCUUCGCACUACUUUGUGUCUCGUAAAAGUAAGAUGCCUUAGGUCGUCGUUACAUUAUGUUUUGUUCAAUUCUACCAGCAUUAUUUAAUAUCGAACAAUAAUGAAAAAAUUGUACAAAUUUAAAAUGAAAUAUGUUACUCUUUUUCUUUAAUCAGUUUUAUUUAUGCUACUGAAUAAAUGAUAAGUUGAUUUGUUUAUCACAAACAUCUACACGUAUGACGUUUGUCUCGAAUUGUGGCCGUAAAGUUC